CAGCAGCCGCGGUAAUACGGAGGGCGCGAGCGUUACCCGGAUUUACUGGGCGUAAAGGGCGUGUAGGCGGCCUGGGGCGUCCCAUGUGAAAGGCCACGGCUCAACCGUGGAGGAGCGUGGGAUACGCUCAGGCUAGAGGGUGGGAGAGGGUGGUGGAAUUCCCGGAGUAGCGGUGAAAUGCGCAGAUACCGGGAGGAACGCCGAUGGCGAAGGCAGCCACCUGGUCCACUUCUGACGCUGAGGCGCGAAAGCGUGGGGAGCAAACCGGAUUAGAUACCCGAGUAGUCCCUGUCUCUUAUAA
This 301-nucleotide ribosomal RNA is filed under the name uncultured bacterium. RNAcentral's name for it is "partial 16S ribosomal RNA". It matches the Rfam family "Bacterial small subunit ribosomal RNA", at positions 509 to 809 of the family's 1533-position model. The record is from RNAcentral.